GGAGGAAAAGAAACUAACAAGGAUUCCCCUAGUAACUGCGAGUGAAGCGGGAAAAGCUCAAAUUUAAAAUCUGGCGGUCUUUGGCCGUCCGAGUUGUAGUCUGGAGAAGCGUUUUCCGCGUUGGACCGUGUACAAGUCUCUUGGAACAGAGCGUCAUAGAGGGUGAGAAUCCCGUCUUUGACACGGACUACCAAUGCUUUGUGAUGCGCUCUCAAAGAGUCGCGUUGUUUGGGAAUGCAGCGCAAAAUGGGAGGUGAAUUCCUUCUAAAGCUAAAUAUUGGCGAGAGACCGAUAGCGAACAAGUACCGUGAGGGAAAGAUGAAAAGCACUUUGGAAAGAGAGUUAAACAGUACGUGAAAUUGCUGAAAGGGAAACGCUUGAAGUCAGUCGCGUCGUCCGGAACUCAGCCUUGCUUCGGCUUGGUGCACUUUCCGGAUGACGGGCCAGCAUCGAUUUUGACCGCUGGAAAAGGGCUGGAGGAAUGUGGCACCUUCGGGUGUGUUAUAGCCUUCAGUCGCAUACAGCGGUUGGGAUCGAGGAACGCAGCACGCCUUAUGGCUGGGGUUCGCCCACAUUCGUGCUUAGGAUGCUGGCAUAAUGGCUUUAAACGA
RNAcentral lists this ribosomal RNA (611 nucleotides) under Trametes hirsuta. RNAcentral describes it as "partial 28S ribosomal RNA". It matches the Rfam family "Eukaryotic large subunit ribosomal RNA", at positions 52 to 647 of the family's 3401-position model. Lineage: Eukaryota; Fungi; Basidiomycota; Agaricomycetes; Polyporales; Polyporaceae. The record is from RNAcentral.